GCCUGGUUAGCUCAAUCGGUAGAGCGUGAGACUCUUAGCAAGUUCACGGUCUGACAAGAACGAUUGAUCUCUCUGCAAUCUCAAGGUUGCGGGUUCGACCCCCGCAUCGGGCU
Molecule: transfer RNA, 113 nt
Filed under: Neocucurbitaria cava
Lineage: Eukaryota; Fungi; Ascomycota; Dothideomycetes; Pleosporales; Cucurbitariaceae
Description: Pyrenochaeta cava tRNA
Rfam family: tRNA
About the family: Transfer RNA (tRNA) molecules are approximately 80 nucleotides in length. Their secondary structure includes four short double-helical elements and three loops (D, anti-codon, and T loops). Further hydrogen bonds mediate the characteristic L-shaped molecular structure. tRNAs have two regions of fundamental functional importance: the anti-codon, which is responsible for specific mRNA codon recognition, and the 3' end, to which the tRNAs corresponding amino acid is attached (by aminoacyl-tRNA synthetases). tRNAs cope with the degeneracy of the genetic code in two manners: having more than one tRNA (with a specific anti-codon) for a particular amino acid; and 'wobble' base-pairing, i.e. permitting non-standard base-pairing at the 3rd anti-codon position.
Source: Rfam by way of RNAcentral